AUUGAACGCUGGCGGCAGGCCUAACACAUGCAAGUCGAACGAGUGGCGGACGGGUGAGUAAUGUCUGGGAAACUGCCUGAUGGAGGGGGAUAACUACUGGAAACGGUAGCUAAUACCGCAUACCAUCGGAUGUGCCCAGAUGGGAUUAGCUAGUAGGUGGGGUAAAGGCUCACCUAGGCGACGAUCCCUAGCUGGUCUGAGAGGAUGACCAGCCACACUGUAACUGAGACACGGUCCAGAGGCCUACGUGAGGCAGCGGUGGGGAAUAUUGCACAAUGGGCGAAAGCCUGAAGCAGCCAUGCCGCGUGGAUGAAGAAGGCCUUCGGGUUGUAGGGUUCUUUCAUCGGGGAGGCGUUACCCGCAGAAGAAGCGCCGGCUAACUCCGUGCCAGCAGCCGCGGUAAUUC
RNAcentral lists this ribosomal RNA (406 nucleotides) under uncultured bacterium. Its description in RNAcentral is "partial 16S ribosomal RNA". It matches the Rfam family "Bacterial small subunit ribosomal RNA", at positions 30 to 526 of the family's 1533-position model. The record is from RNAcentral.